AGGGCCGCGGUAUUUUGACCGUGCGAAGGUAGCAUAAUCACUAGUCUUUUAAUUGAAGGCUUGAAUGAAUGGUUGGACCGGAUGUAAUCUGUCUUUAUUAUGUAGUAUAAUUUAACUUUUAAGUGAAAAGGCUUAAAUUUAUUAGUGGGACGAUAAGACCCUAUAAAACUUUAUAUAAUUGAAUUUGAUUUGAAAAUUUUGUGUAAAUUAGAGUAGAUUGAGUUAUAUUUUGUUGGGGAGACAAAAAUAUAAUUGUAACUGUUUAUUAUUAUAAAAUAUUUAUAAAUAGAUUCUGAUCCUUUAUUAGAGAUUAUAAGUAUAAGUUACUUUAGGGAUAACAGCGUAAUUUCCUUUGAGAGUCCAUAUCGACAAGGGUAGUUGCGACCUCGAUGUUGAAUUAAAAUUUUAGUUGGGUGUAGAAGCUUAAUUGGUGGGUCUGUUCGACCUUUGAAAUUUU
Molecule: ribosomal RNA, 457 nt
Filed under: Phycomenes sulcatus
Lineage: Eukaryota; Metazoa; Arthropoda; Malacostraca; Decapoda; Palaemonidae
Description: partial 16S ribosomal RNA
Rfam family: Bacterial large subunit ribosomal RNA
Source: RNAcentral